AUGUUUGAAAAACCGUUCGGAUCUGAUGUGAUGUGAUUUGAUACCCACCCAACCGGACCAAAGUCCGAAAGAACCACUUGGCGGACGAGGGGCUCGACCAGUUUUGUGACGUCUUCGGCCACUUGCAUCCGAGGAACAGAGUUAGCUGGAUUUGCUUUGGAUAUGGAUGGGGAUGGGGAUUUGGAAUGGAAUGGAAUUGGAAUGGCAUGGGAUGGGAUCGUUUCGGGCCUAAACACCGAGACGCAUUUGCCGAACUGCUUUUAACUGCUUUUCGUCGGCUGAGGUAGUUGAAUGGCCAAGAUUUACAUGAGACUGUUAGUUAACGACAUGGCGGGCAUAUUUAAUUAAUGCAACACGCUUCAUGCUUAAGUGCAUAUCUGCCUAGCUAACUCACUGACCUUUAGAAAAAUGGGCGUCGAUUUGGUGACUUUCCGCUUGGGGGGAAGUACCUGCUGAAUAUUUGGAGACCCCCUUUCUUUUUGCCACUACAUACUAGAUAUGUACAUACAUUUUACAUUUAUCAAUUUAUUGCGAUUUGAACUCUUUUUGAACUGACCGGCGCCGUUUCAGUUCAAAUUUAAAUUCAAACUGGGAAUACAUUUCAAUUAGAAUUAAACACCCACACUGGCGCACAGGAAUUGUAAACAAAUAAUUUUCUAUUAGCGGGAGAAAGAGUGUCAUUCCUGAUCAAAAUCGUACCAGAUCGAACUCGUUAUCGUUAUCCAAGUAAAACACCACAUAGCCAGCAAUUGAGGCGAGGCGACAAGUGUACAAAAAACGAAAGAUAUAAUCGUUUCCAUUAUUAAUUGGCGCACUUUUUGCCUUUGUGACUCGAGUUACUUAAAAAGUAAUAAAGGGUGAGACAAAUGGAAAUAUUUACACAUCACGCAAUCCCAAACUGGCCAAGAACCAGCAAUUAAACUUUUAUGUUUGUUUACAGCGCAUUUCACUUGGCUCAACUUGCCACAAUUAACAAUCGCCAUCGAGGGAUAUGCAAAGGAGUUGGAAAAUACCGGAUAUUUUCCGGCCAUUCGUGGAGCGUCUUCUGCAGAAUUGAAAAUGAAUCUUCGCAUAUGAAUCAGAGCGUUUCAAUUCCCUGAAAUUAAUUGAUAGCAAUUUAGGAAACGGUUUGGCAAACAUUUAUACACGAUUUUCAAUUAAACGUUUCCUCAAGCUUAUUUUACUUAUACCCAUCAUAUUUUUAUAUACAUUUACUU
Drosophila melanogaster (fruit fly) is the source of this 1217-nucleotide non-coding RNA. The record is from Ensembl. Lineage: Eukaryota; Metazoa; Arthropoda; Insecta; Diptera; Drosophilidae.